RNAcentral lists this ribosomal RNA (403 nucleotides) under uncultured bacterium. Its description in RNAcentral is "partial 16S ribosomal RNA". It matches the Rfam family "Bacterial small subunit ribosomal RNA", at positions 30 to 526 of the family's 1533-position model. The record is from RNAcentral.
AUUGAACGCUGGCGGCAGGCCUAACACAUGCAAGUCGAGCGAGCGGCUGACGGGUGAGUAAUGUAUGGGGACUGCCCGAUAUAGGGGGAUAACUACUGGAAACGGUAGCUAAUACCGCAUACUAUCGGAUAACCCAUAUGGGAUUAGCUAGUAGGUGUGGUAAUGGCUCACCUAGGCGACGAUCCCUCGCUGGUCUGAGAGGAUGACCAGCCCCACUGGAACUGAGACACGGCCCAGACUCCUACGGAGGCAGCAGUGGGGAAUAUUGCAAAAUGGGCGAAAGCCUGAUGCAGCAAGGCCGCGUGUAGGAAGAAGGCCUGAGGGUUGUAAAGUACUUUCAGUCGGGAGGCGUUACCGAAAGAAGAAGCACCGGCUAACUCCGUGCCAGCAGCCGCGGUAAUUC